Long non-coding RNA from Phyllopteryx taeniolatus (common seadragon), 302 nucleotides. RefSeq lists it as uncharacterized. Lineage: Eukaryota; Metazoa; Chordata; Actinopteri; Syngnathiformes; Syngnathidae. The transcript has 3 exons. The record is from RefSeq and is a predicted model, not a curated record.
UGCUCAUUUCGCUUGUAUUUCAAUACACUUGCACAAGAACAUUUUCUUUUCUUUGAGGUCUUGAAGUUUUGAGGUGUUAGUCCAUUGUUGGAUUCCCAUUGAGAAGCUCGGCGUUCGUGCGAGGGGGACGCUUGAUGAAGAGACGCUCAAGUGGCUUUGCGGAGGGGGAAGAAUAAUGACAUUUGAAGCGCGCUGUUAGAACUUCAGUCAUUCUCGCUUGCCGUCUGCCACCCACUGAAAGUCUUACCGCCGCUGUCCCUGAUGGAGAGGUUGAGCGCGGCGCUGGACUCGGGCGCGAUGCU